Molecule: long non-coding RNA, 204 nt
Organism: Melanotaenia boesemani (Boeseman's rainbowfish)
Lineage: Eukaryota; Metazoa; Chordata; Actinopteri; Atheriniformes; Melanotaeniidae
Exons: 3
Source: RefSeq, a predicted model, not a curated record
CGUCAUCGCGCCUUCUCGUUUUCUCCUUCCGUAGAUCAAUUUAGGAUGAUUUUGGUGCAAGGUUUGGGCAUUUCUAAUUUAUUUUGUAUUUUGCGGUUACGCGUCUUGAAAAAAGAACAGGCUACUUUGGCAUUAUGGCUUCAGCUUCAGAAACAUCACAGCUUGCUGAGAUUCUCAGAGAAGCACAUUCUCUGGCAGGAGAAC